GAAGUGAGCCAGACGAUCGCUGCUGUGGAAAUCUCCGUGAUUGAAGCAGGGGAGGAAAGUCCGGGCUUCAUAGGGCAAGGUGCCAGGUAACGCCUGGGCGGUGUAAACCGACGGCAAGUGCAGCAGAGAGAAGACCGCCUUCAUUAUGUUUUCGAGCAAUCGGAAUCGAAGGUAAGGGUGAAAGGGUGCGGUAAGAGCGCACCGCAUGGCUGGUAACAGUUCAUGGCGAGGUAAACCCCACCGGAAGCAAGACCAAAUAG
RNAcentral lists this RNase P RNA (260 nucleotides) under Yersinia pestis. Its description in RNAcentral is "partial RNase P RNA component class A". It matches the Rfam family "Bacterial RNase P class A", at positions 1 to 235 of the family's 367-position model. Rfam says of the family: Ribonuclease P (RNase P) is a ubiquitous endoribonuclease, found in archaea, bacteria and eukarya as well as chloroplasts and mitochondria. The record is from RNAcentral. Lineage: Bacteria; Pseudomonadati; Pseudomonadota; Gammaproteobacteria; Enterobacterales; Yersiniaceae.